This 284-nucleotide ribosomal RNA is filed under the name uncultured Oscillospiraceae bacterium. RNAcentral's name for it is "partial 16S ribosomal RNA". The stretch from base 44 to 284 matches the Rfam family "Bacterial small subunit ribosomal RNA", at positions 100 to 339 of the family's 1533-position model. Lineage: Bacteria; Bacillati; Bacillota; Clostridia; Eubacteriales; Oscillospiraceae. The record is from RNAcentral.
UUUGACCGAUUUCUUCGGAAUGAAGUUUUAGUGACUGAGUGGCGGACGGGUGAGUAACGCGUGAGGAACCUGCCUUGAAGAGGGGGACAACAGUUGGAAACGACUGCUAAUACCGCAUAAGCCCACGAUCCGGCAUCGGGCUGAGGGAAAAGGAUUUAUUCGCUUCAGGAUGGACUCGCGUCCAAUUAGCUAGUUGGUGAGGCAACGGCCUACCAAGGCGACGAUCAGUAGCCGACCUGAGAGGGUGACCGGCCACAUUGGGACUGAGACACGGCCCAAACUCC